AAUGAACGCUAGCGUUAAGCUUAACACAUGCAAGUCGAACGCAUAGCUCUUGGUGCUGUUAAUAGUAGCGUCAAGCAGAAGUGAGUGGCGAACGGGUGAGUAACGCGUGAGAACCUACCCCGCAAUCCAGGGACAGACGCCCGUUUAAUCCUGGAUAAAGAAGUGAAUGUGCAUAUCCUUUGGGAUUGCAGAGAAACUUUCUAAAGUCAUAGGCACGUUGUGGGAUGGGCUUGCGUAGGAUUAGGUUGUUGGGGAGGUAACGGCUCACCAAGCCCUAGAUCCUUAGCUGGUCUGAGAGGACGGUCAGCCACACUGGGACUGAGAUACGGCCCAGACGCCUACGGGCGGCAGCAGUGAGGAAUCUUAGACAAUGAGCGACAGCUUGAUCUAGCUAUAACGCAAGGGUGAAGAAGGCCCAAUUGGUUGUAAAACCCUUACCUGGGGGAAGAUUGUGACACACCCCUGGGGAGGAGUUCCGUCUAACUCUGUGCCAGCAGCCGCAGUA
Molecule: ribosomal RNA, 505 nt
Filed under: uncultured bacterium
Lineage: Bacteria
Description: bacterial SSU rRNA
Rfam family: Bacterial small subunit ribosomal RNA
Source: RNAcentral